GACGAACGCUGGCGGCGUGCUUAACACAUGCAAGUCGAACGGUGAAGCGCCUUCCUUUUUGGUGGGUGUGGAUGAGUGGCGAACGGGUGAGUAACACGUGAGUAACCUGCCCCCUUCUUCUGGAUAACCGCAUGAAAGUGUGGCUAAUACGGGAUAUUCUGGGUCUGUCGCAUGAUGGGUCUGGGAAAGAUAUUGUUUCGGUGGGGGAUGGGCUCGCGGCCUAUCAGCUUGUUGGUGGGGUGAUGGCCUACCAAGGCGGUGACGGGUAGCCGGCCUGAGAGGGUGGACGGUCACACUGGGACUGAGACACGGCCCAGACUCCUACGGGAGGCAGCAGUGGGGAAUAUUGCACAGUGGGCGCAAGCCUGAUGCAGCGACGCCGCGGGAGGGAUGGAGGCCUUCGGGUUGUGAACCUCCUUCGCCAGUGAAGCAGGCCUGCCUCGUUUGUGGGUGGGUUGACGGUAGCUGGAGAAGAAGCGCCGGCUAACUACGUG
RNAcentral lists this ribosomal RNA (494 nucleotides) under uncultured bacterium. Its description in RNAcentral is "partial 16S ribosomal RNA". It matches the Rfam family "Bacterial small subunit ribosomal RNA", at positions 28 to 507 of the family's 1533-position model. The record is from RNAcentral.